Molecule: transfer RNA, 73 nt
Filed under: Thermoplasmata archaeon
Lineage: Archaea; Methanobacteriati; Thermoplasmatota; Thermoplasmata
Description: tRNA-Val
Rfam family: tRNA
About the family: Transfer RNA (tRNA) molecules are approximately 80 nucleotides in length. Their secondary structure includes four short double-helical elements and three loops (D, anti-codon, and T loops).
Source: RNAcentral
GGGCUAGUGGUCUAGGGGUUAUGACGUCGCGCUUACAACGCGGAGGUCAGCGGUUCAAUUCCGCUCUAGCCCA